GUGAGUCAUCGAAUCUUUGAACGCAUCUUGCGCUCCUUGGUAUUCCAUGGAGCAUGCCUGUUUGAGUGUCACGUAAACCCUCACACCAGUGAUGUAAAAGUCUCUGGAGGUGGAAUUGGACUGUGCCGUAGUUGGCUCGUCCUGAAAUUCAUUAGCCUGCACUUGUUAGCGUGCUCGGCAUGGUGUGAUAAUUAUCUGCGCCGUCGCCUUAUGCCGCUUCUUAAUGUGCUGCUUCUAAUCGUCCCUUGUGGACAGACACUAUAAAGCUUUGGCCUCAAAUCAGGUAGGAUUACCCGCUGAACUUAAGCAUAUCAAUAAGCGGAGGA
This 326-nucleotide unclassified non-coding RNA is filed under the name Auriculariales sp. RNAcentral's name for it is "partial contains 5.8S ribosomal RNA, internal transcribed spacer 2, and large subunit ribosomal RNA". The stretch from base 1 to 71 matches the Rfam family "5.8S ribosomal RNA", at positions 84 to 154 of the family's 154-position model. Lineage: Eukaryota; Fungi; Basidiomycota; Agaricomycetes; Auriculariales. The record is from RNAcentral.